RNAcentral lists this ribosomal RNA (469 nucleotides) under uncultured Gammaproteobacteria bacterium. RNAcentral's name for it is "bacterial SSU rRNA". It matches the Rfam family "Bacterial small subunit ribosomal RNA", at positions 364 to 826 of the family's 1533-position model. The record is from RNAcentral. Lineage: Bacteria; Pseudomonadati; Pseudomonadota; Gammaproteobacteria.
UUGGACAAUGGGCGCAAGCCUGAUCCAGCCAUACCGCGUGGGUGAAGAAGGCUUCGGGUUGUAAAGCCCUUUUGUUGGGAAAGAAAUCCAGCUGGCUAAUACCCGGUUGGGAUGACGGUACCCAAAGAAUAAGCACCGGCUAACUUCGUGCCAGCAGCCGCGGUAAUACGAAGGGUGCAAGCGUUACUCGGAAUUACUGGGCGUAAAGCGUGCGUAGGUGGUCGUUUAAGUCCGUUGUGAAAGCCCUAGGCUCAACCUGGGAACUGCAGUGGAUACUGGGCGACUAGAGUGUGGUAGAGGGUAGCGGAAUUCCUGGUGUAGCAGUGAAAUGCGUAGAGAUCAGGAGGAACAUCCAUGGCGAAGGCAGCUACCUGGACCAAUACUGACAUUGAGGCACGAAAGCGUGGGGAGCAAACAGGAUUAGAUACCNUGGUAGUCCACGCYNUAAANGAUGNGAAUUGGAUGUUGG